This is a long non-coding RNA of Equus caballus (horse), 1390 nucleotides long. The record is from Ensembl. NCBI's taxonomy places the organism in Eukaryota, Metazoa, Chordata, Mammalia, Perissodactyla, Equidae.
CGAGAGAGAGGACCCCGGGGAGCUGUCAGCUCCAGAUCCGCUUUCUUCAGGAUCCGCUUCAGCACUCACGCUACUGCCACACCCUGCCCGGCUGCCCCCAGCCAACACCUCAAUGUAAAACACAUUCUGUGGAUACUGAUGCAGAGGCUAUACGGAUGGAGAACAAACAGGGUUCUUCUAAGACACUGACGCAUUAUCUACGAAGAUAAUGGAACCAGAAGGCUAAUCAACCUUGCCAUGCUGCCGUAGACACUGAGGAUGAAUUUUUAUAAGAGGAUAGAGUGGGAGGAUGGAGAAAAAGGAAGUGCCUGCUCCAUCCCCUGAGUGCCAUCUGCUGUGGAGGGCACAGACAGUGCCCGCCCAGAGAGCUCUCUGCCCACAGAUACGCCCACACACCGCACCACUGACAGCUGUGGGAAGGCAACACCAGAGCUGAGAAAACACGGAGCUGGCUUUCAGACUGCACAUAUUGGUCAUCAGAAGGUGCGGAAGAAGCCCCAACGGAACAGACAGAGGAGGCUCAUUUUAAGUUUUAAAAUCAGCUACUAACUCCUCUAGCAAAAAUGAGAAAAUUUUUCUUUGUUAAAGCCCCCAGAAUCUCUAAUUCCCAAUCUGUCAGAGACCUACCUCAUUUACAAACUAACGAAAAUAGAUAUGCGACAAACCAUAAGAAACAGAAAUUGCUGCUUUAGAAUUUCUUUGUAAACCAACACCUUAAACUAGAUAGGAGGAGGCAAGUCACCUUCUCUAUGCUUUAAGAAAGGAGAAAAGACAAGAUGCUUUUUGGAGUUGAUAUGAGAAACUCCACUUUUCCUGACUCCAAAGCACGAAGGGCCUGGAGGAAAUUAGUAGAAGAGAUGCAGGGUGGGGAGAAAAAAAGAAGAGUGAAAGGAAUGGGAAACCAGUGUAAGUAAAAUCCAUACGUGUUUUCUACUCCUAAAAUGACACAAAACACAUUUAAACCAUGUUCAGUAACUGCAUUAUUUGUAAAAUGAUUUCACCAUUCUAUCUAACAAUCUCUAACAGAUUUGUCUGUGACUUUAAAUUUAAAACUUCCUUCCCUCAUUAUGAUCUUUGUUAUCUAGUUUUUAUUUCUUCAGAAGAUCGCUGAAACCUAUACCAGAAAGAGAUUCUCUUCAUAUUGAGAAAAAAAAGGUCCAGAAAUAAAGUCAGUGUCCAAGCCCUUAUUCUGAGUCAACAGCAGAUCUGCAGCCAGGACUCAGAACUACCUCUUGUUGGACUCAGACACAGCCAUAGAGUGACCGAACAGAGAGAAACGUUACUGACUGUCAUGAGCUACUCUGCUAGUAGAGCCAUCUUGCCCUAUGCAUCACCUCAGUCCCUCAUGCAAAUUGACUUCUGGCAGCUUUCCCUCCUAUUCAUGUGCUCU